GUGCUUGCUUCAGCAGCACAUAUACUAAAAGUGGAAUGAUAGAGAUUUGCAUGGCCCCUGUGCAAGUAUGACACACAAAUGUGUAAAGUGUUCCAUAUUUUU
RNAcentral lists this small nuclear RNA (102 nucleotides) under Sciurus vulgaris (Eurasian red squirrel). Lineage: Eukaryota; Metazoa; Chordata; Mammalia; Rodentia; Sciuridae. The record is from RNAcentral.